Molecule: ribosomal RNA, 497 nt
Filed under: uncultured bacterium
Lineage: Bacteria
Description: partial 16S ribosomal RNA
Rfam family: Bacterial small subunit ribosomal RNA
Source: RNAcentral
GAUGAACGCUGGCGACGUGCCUAAUACAUGCCAGUAGAACGCUGAAGCUUGGUGCUUGCACCGAGCGGAUGAGUUGCGAACGGGUGAGUAACGCGUAGGUAACCUGCCUCUUAGCGGGGGAUAACUAUUGGAAACGAUAGCUAAUACCGCAUAAAAGUCGAUAUCGCAUGAUAUUGAUUUGAAAGGUGCAAUUGCAUCACUAAGAGAUGGACCUGCGUUGUAUUAGCUAGUUGGUGAGGUAACGGCUCACCAAGGCGACGAUACAUAGCCGACCUGAGAGGGUGAUCGGCCACACUGGGACUGAGACACGGCCCAGACUCCUACGGGAGGCGGCAGUAGGGAAUCUUCGGCAAUGGGGGCAACCCUGACCGAGCAACGCCGCGUGAGUGAAGAAGGUUUUCGGAUCGUAAAGCUCUGUUGUAAGAGAAGAACGAGUGUGAGAGUGGAAAGUUCACACUGUGACGGUAACUUACCAGAAAGGGACGGCUAACUACGUG